RNAcentral lists this ribosomal RNA (460 nucleotides) under uncultured bacterium. RNAcentral describes it as "partial 16S ribosomal RNA". It matches the Rfam family "Bacterial small subunit ribosomal RNA", at positions 338 to 795 of the family's 1533-position model. The record is from RNAcentral.
CCUACGGGGAGCAGCAGUGAGGAAUAUUGGUCAAUGGACGAGAGUCUGAACCAGCCAAGUAGCGUGAAGGAUGACUGCCCUAUGGGUUGUAAACUUCUUUUAUAAAGGAAUAAAACGAGGCACGUGUGCCUUUUUGCAUGUACUUUAUGAAUAAGGAUCGGCUAACUCCGUGCCAGCAGCCGCGGUAAUACGGAGGAUCCGAGCGUUAUCCGGAUUUAUUGGGUUUAAAGGGUGCGUAGAUGGGUUGUUAAGUCAGUUGUGAAAGUUUGCGGCUCAACCGUAAAAUUGCAAUUGAUACUGGCAGUCGUGAGUACAGUUGAGGUAGGCGGAAUUCGUGGUGUAGCGGUGAAAUGCUUAGAUAUCACGAAGAACCCCGAUUGCGAAGGCAGCUUACUAAACUGUGACUGACAUUGAUGCUCGAAAGUGUGGGUAUCAAACAGGAUUAGAUACCCGUGUAGUC